This 429-nucleotide ribosomal RNA is filed under the name bacterium. RNAcentral describes it as "partial 16S ribosomal RNA". It matches the Rfam family "Bacterial small subunit ribosomal RNA", at positions 355 to 776 of the family's 1533-position model. The record is from RNAcentral.
UAGGGAAUCUUCCACAAUGGACGCAAGUCUGAUGGAGCAACGCCGCGUGAGUGAAGAAGGUUUUCGGAUCGUAAAGCUCUGUUGUUGGUGAAGAAGGAUAGAGGCAGUAACUGGUCUUUAUUUGACGGUAAUCAACCAGAAAGUCACGGCUAACUACGUGCCAGCAGCCGCGGUAAUACGUAGGUGGCAAGCGUUGUCCGGAUUUAUUGGGCGUAAAGCGAGCGCAGGCGGAAUGAUAAGUCUGAUGUGAAAGCCCACGGCUCAACCGUGGAACUGCAUCGGAAACUGUCAUUCUUGAGUGCAGAAGAGGAGAGUGGAAUUCCAUGUGUAGCGGUGGAAUGCGUAGAUAUAUGGAAGAACACCAGUGGCGAAGGCGGCGCUCUGGUCUGCUACUGACGCUGAGGCUCGAAAGCAUGGGUAGCGAACAGG